GAUGAACGCUAGCGGGAGGCCUAACACAUGCAAGCCGAGCGGGAUUUGUUGGUUAGCUUGCUAACUAACAAUGAGAGCGGCGUACGGGUGCGUAGCACGUGUGCAACCUGCCUUUAUCUGGGGGAUAGCCUUUCGAAAGGAAGAUUAAUACCCCAUAACAUAUUGAUUGGCAUCAGUUAAUAUUGAAAGCUCCGGCGGAUAGAGAUGGGCACGCGUAAGAUUAGCUAGUUGGUGAGGUAACGGCUCACCAAGGCUGCGAUCUUUAGGGGGCCUGAGAGGGUGAUCCCCCACACUGGUACUGAGACACGGGCCAGACUCCUACGGGAGGCAGCAGUGAGGAAUAUUGGACAAUGGGUGAGAGCCUGAUCCAGCCAUCCCGCGUGAAGGACUAAGGACCUAUGGUUUGUAAACUUCUUUUAUACAGGGAUAAACCUACUCUCGUGAGGGUAGCUGAAGGUACUGUAUGAAUAAGCACCGGCUAACUCCGUG
RNAcentral lists this ribosomal RNA (489 nucleotides) under uncultured bacterium. Its description in RNAcentral is "partial 16S ribosomal RNA". It matches the Rfam family "Bacterial small subunit ribosomal RNA", at positions 28 to 507 of the family's 1533-position model. The record is from RNAcentral.